This 464-nucleotide ribosomal RNA is filed under the name uncultured Comamonas sp. Its description in RNAcentral is "bacterial SSU rRNA". It matches the Rfam family "Bacterial small subunit ribosomal RNA", at positions 916 to 1381 of the family's 1533-position model. Lineage: Bacteria; Pseudomonadati; Pseudomonadota; Betaproteobacteria; Burkholderiales; Comamonadaceae. The record is from RNAcentral.
GACGGGACCCGCACAAGCGGUGGAUGAUGUGGUUUAAUUCGAUGCAACGCGAAAACCUUACCCACCUUUGACAUGUACGGAAUCCUUUAGAGAUAGAGGAGUGCUCGAAAGAGAGCCGUAACACAGGUGCUGCAUGGCUGUCGUCAGCUCGUGUCGUGAGAUGUUGGGUUAAGUCCCGCAACGAGCGCAACCCUUGUCAUUAGUUGCUACGAAAGGGCACUCUAAUGAGACUGCCGGUGACAAACCGGAGGAAGGUGGGGAUGACGUCAAGUCCUCAUGGCCCUUAUAGGUGGGGCUACACACGUCAUACAAUGGCUGGUACAAAGGGUUGCCAACCCGCGAGGGGGAGCCAAUCCCAUAAAGCCAGUCGUAGUCCGGAUCGCAGUCUGCAACUCGACUGCGUGAAGUCGGAAUCGCUAGUAAUCGUGGAUCAGCAUGUCGCGGUGAAUACGUUCCCGGGUCUU